AUGACGUGUCUUGAAAUGCUUGAUCUGACAGUCACAGCCUCUCAAGAAAGAAGUAUCACAGAGGAAAGGCAAGUACAUUUAAUGAGCUCAGUUCACUGCUGGGUCACACCAGAGCAGAAGGACAAGACCUCCAUCGCUGGAAAGACCACCCAGAGAGGAGGAAGCUGCGCUUGCCCAGGAGGGAGCUGUGACAGAACCCAAGGGCUGCUGCUCUGUGAGCAAGAGGCAGCAGCUGGUGCCAGCAAGGGAAACUGGGGUGAGCCUCUCCUUUCUCUCCUCUUCCCUCUGUCUAUCCACACCUGCAGGCAGGGUAUGGGGCAAGAAGCCCCCUUUUAGCCCCCCACAGCUGAAGUGUGUCAGGGCAGAGAACUGGGGAGGUCAGUGUGGAGCUGUGCUUGGCAGCACCAUGGGGACCACAGGAAUGUGACUGUAAGGUCCUGGCUGUGUGUCCUCAGACAGGAGAACAUGCUGCUUCCCAGAAGAGCUUUUGUCCAUGGUAAGCCCAGUGCCCUCUUUCAGAAAAGGCUCUCAGACACACGCCCCCAAAAAGGAAAAAGGAAGUUUUGAAAGGUGGGAUCUGAGGAGAGGAAGUGACUCAUGGGCUCAAAGAGAGAUGGCCAGGCAGUGAGAGCCGGCCGAGGCAGCAGAAGCGAUCCCCAACUGUGCCGAGUCGUGGGAAUGGAGGUGAGGAAGGAG
This 696-nucleotide long non-coding RNA is filed under the name Serinus canaria (Common canary). RNAcentral's name for it is "lncRNA (ENSSCAG00000002122.1)". The record is from RNAcentral. Lineage: Eukaryota; Metazoa; Chordata; Aves; Passeriformes; Fringillidae.